AAUCAAAUUUCACUCAUUCCCCUAAAUCAAAUCUCUCUCCCAAAAUUGAAAUUGCUCUCCCACCACCACCACCCUACCGCCAGCACCGCGGGCUAUCGUCUUCCACCACCACCACCAGUAGUCAUUCGGUCUGCCUCUUCCACCAACGCUCUAUCCUUUACAGGACCCACACUUUUCGAGCCGCUACCACCACCGCCGUCUGUCCUCUAACACCACCACCACUCGCAGUAGUUCAUAACGGAAAAAUUACGGCUUUGGCGGGUCGGAUUGCGGCGUGUACCCUCUUCCAGUACGACUCGCAGGAGUGAGAAAGGGAGGAGGGUCUGUGACCUAGCUAGUGGUUGGUAAAAGGAUCAAGGGGUGAUGUAACCAUCACAAUAUCGAGUAAAGUUGGAGAAAGGUGUUGUCCUGAGGGCCAUUUGUGCUGGUUUUGAGGAACCAACUGAGCCAACUGUUUGUUUGAGUGGUGGGAUCAAAAGAACAUAGAUUUCAGGAAGUUGGAUGCUCAUGUUCAUCAACUAAAGGGCAACAGCUCCAUUGAUCCUCUGUCAGUUGAGUUAGGACCUGGAAUUUGGGAAAUAUUUUUUAUGGCAUUCAGGUUUGUAGCUAAACUUCUGUUAUUCUCAUUUCAAUGAGUCCAAAGAUGGGCGUUCUGGAGAGAACUUGAUGGAGUGAAGCAGUUAAUCAAGAACAGACAGUUGGAGUUGAAUCUAGAGAAUGGUGGCCUGCUGUUUUGUUUGGAGUUGAGUGUUUUGCCUGGUUCUGUCAAGAUGAGAUUAUUGGAAGAGGCUUCACAGUUGUAGGUUUCCAUGUUUGAUUGCAAUUCCUUCAGGAUUUUCAGAAUUUUAAUACUGCUAUUCCAAUAAUAAUAAUAAUAAUCAGUUUUGUCC
Pistacia vera is the source of this 890-nucleotide long non-coding RNA. RefSeq lists it as uncharacterized. The transcript is spliced from 5 exons. The record is from RefSeq and is a predicted model, not a curated record. NCBI's taxonomy places the organism in Eukaryota, Viridiplantae, Streptophyta, Magnoliopsida, Sapindales, Anacardiaceae.